This 987-nucleotide unclassified non-coding RNA is filed under the name Hevea brasiliensis (rubber tree). Lineage: Eukaryota; Viridiplantae; Streptophyta; Magnoliopsida; Malpighiales; Euphorbiaceae. The record is from RNAcentral.
GCAUGUUAUUGGUUGGAUGACGUGCCAUAAGAGCUUGAAAUCAGUAAGAUAGUCAUGCUAUUGCUAGCGUAAAUAAUCAACAGCAGUGGAAACAAGAAUGGUGCUCUUUGGCCCCAUCUAGCGACGAACUGGGAGUACAUUUAUGGUAUGUGCAUCAUGUGCAGAGAUUGAUGAAGCUGUCUGAAACUUACAAUAUACUGGAACCAAAGGACCAGGUUCUACACUGCAGCACUUCUCUUCAUUGAGGAUGGUGUUGAUUGAAUCGAGUAGCCUGGUGCCUAGCUCCUCCCCAUCACUCCAUUCCUGAAUAUUUGCCUUGAUAAGGUUUUUGUUGCCGUAAAUCAACUCCCACAAAGGGAAAUUCUUCCUUGGCAUCACGAUGUCUCCUUGUUCAAGCUUCAUUGCUGCACAAAAAUCCGGACUUCCAUCACCAACAUAAAUGAACCGGUUCUUUCCUUGAGCAGAAACAGAAGCUCGCAUCCUUUCCAUCACCAGACCCUUGCACAUGUUUGGAGGGCAGAUUGUGCAGCCAUGAGAAGAUGACUUGAACUCAUGGUACUGUAAGAUUCUCAGCCUGCCUUCUGCAUCCACAUAGCAUGGGUUUGUGGUUAUCUCAGAGAAGCAAUCCAUCAGCCCAUAAUGUUUCAAGAUUGUCUCGAUGAAGAUGGUGUUUGCAUCGCUUACUAUCCUCAAAUCACACCCAGAAGCAUGGGCUGAUUUAAUUGCUUUGGUAAUCUUUGGAUGCAGAGGAACCUGUUUCAAGCACUCUGCAAUAUCCUGAAUUGUCUUUUCCCUAGAGUGAAGCUCCAUCAUCAUCCGAUCCAUGAGUGAGUUCCAGGGCAAGGUAGGGAGGAGCUCAGUAAAGGUGUCAUUAACGCCUAGCUUUUCCACCACCCAGUUAUCACUAUCACAAUCAAUAAGGGUUUUGUCGAAGUCGAAAACCACCACAACUCUCGCCAUUGCUAUGCUACGACCACCUCCCAAAUU